Molecule: unclassified non-coding RNA, 349 nt
Filed under: soil metagenome
Description: partial contains 5.8S ribosomal RNA, internal transcribed spacer 2, and large subunit ribosomal RNA
Rfam family: 5.8S ribosomal RNA (bases 1-120)
Source: RNAcentral
GAUGAAGAACGUAGUGAAAUGCGAUAAGUAAUGUGAAUUGCAGAAUUCAGUGAAUCAUCGAGUCUUUGAACGCACAUUGCGCCCCCUGGUAUUCCGGGGGGCAUGCCUGUCCGAGCGUCAUUGCUGCCCUCAAGCACGGCUUGUGUGUUGGGCCCCCGCCCCCCGGUCCCGGGGGGCGGGCCCGAAAGGCAGCGGCGGCACCGCGUCCGGUCCUCGAGCGUAUGGGGCUUUGUCACCCGCUCUGUAGGCCCGGCCGGCGCCCGCCGGCGACCCCAAUCAAUCUUUUUCAGGUUGACCUCGGAUCAGGUAGGGAUACCCGCUGAACUUAAGCAUAUCAAUAAGCGGAGGA